CGGCCUCUGUUAAUAUGUCGU
RNAcentral lists this non-coding RNA (21 nucleotides) under Arabidopsis thaliana (thale cress). Lineage: Eukaryota; Viridiplantae; Streptophyta; Magnoliopsida; Brassicales; Brassicaceae. The record is from RNAcentral.